Molecule: long non-coding RNA, 1119 nt
Organism: Lotus japonicus
Lineage: Eukaryota; Viridiplantae; Streptophyta; Magnoliopsida; Fabales; Fabaceae
Exons: 2
Source: RefSeq, a predicted model, not a curated record
AAACGACGUAUUGGGCUAUUGGCUCUAUUGUCUCCCUAGAGUGUUGGUACCACCACGCUCACGGACUGAACUAAGCUGACUGAACCUGAUUUGAGGAUGGCAAACUUUUGCAUGUUGUUUGCUGAGAGACAGUUAUAAUGCUGUUUCUCUCACAGCCAAUAAAUAAAUGUCAAGUGGAUGCCAAGUGGAUGCUUAUGUCAUAUCAUUUAAACUUAUCAAAUUCUUAAAUUGGUCCUUCAAUUAUUUGUAUUAUAAAUCUGACAAUAUAAUAAAAAUAGAUUUAUUUUUUCUUGAAACAUUUAUUUUCUGGUUUAGAAAUCUCAUUUACCAUUAAUUUAAACAUUUCAAGUUUGAAAACCUACUCCUUCCUCCACUCCUCCUCCUCCGCCGCCGUUUCUCAUCUUCCGGUCAAACCAAAAAGCACCGCUGCCGCUGCUGGUGCAAGCCCUUCUCCGCUGCCGGUGCCGGUGCAAGCUCUUCUCUUCUCUGCUGCAACUUCUUCUCAAGCCCAGAAGCACUGCUGCUGCAAGCCCUCCUCUGCCGCAAGCCCUCCUCUACCGUGAAGAUCCUCAUCCCCACAAGCCCCUUUUCGUCUGAAGAUCAUCUAACUCGAUCUAAUUCGUUGUGUGCACGAUGUCUGACUCUGACUUGUUCGAGAAUGAAAAACAUUUUAAAAAUGUUUAUGAAGGAGUCCCUGAGAAAAUUGAUGGUGAUGGCGAUGAUGACGACGGUAAAUCGGCUGAGGAUGUUUCUGAUACAGACUCAGAUUCUGCCAAUGAAAAAUACAAGGCGAUUCCUGACCUAACAGCUGAUCAAAUACGAGGCCUAAAGUUUUGUUCUUCGUUGGAUGCUCUCAAAUUUUACUCCAGCUAUGCCAAAUCUUAUGAUGCCUGAGUCUAGUGGGAAGGAAGUUGAAUACCCUACAAGUGAUUUUGAAACAAUAUGCAGUUCACAACCUUCAUCUUCUGUAAAGUACUCUUCUUUCAUUUCAGAUGUAUCAAACCAAGAUAAAAGUUGAAGAUUAGACUUAGCAGACAUAUUUGAUCUAAUAUGAGAAUGUCAGUGCCCUGCAGUUAAAUUGAAUAAUGAAUUUGUAUUGGUAAUUUUCAUUUGUUUUUA